AGUCGAACGGGCAGCACGGACUUCGGUCUGGUGGCGAGUGGCGAACGUGAGUAAUGUAUCGGAACGUGCCUAGUAGCGGGGAUAAUUCAUGCGAAAGCAGUAGCUAUUACCGCAUAUUGCCCUUCGGGGGAAAGCAACUUUCGGCCCCGCAUUAUUAGAGCGGCUGGAUAUCGGAUUAGCUAGUUGCGGGGUAACGGCUCACUAAGGCGACGAUCCGUAGCUGGUUUGAGAGAGGGACGACCGGCCACACUGGGACCAGAUACGCCCAGAUCACGGGAGGCAGGCGGGGAAUUUGAUAAUGGGGAAAACCCUGAUCCGCGUCAUCCGAAGGCGGUGCGAUGAAGGCCUUCGGGUUGUGUAAAGCAUACUUGGCAGGAAGAAAAACGGCACGGGAUAAUACCCCGUGCAACUGACGGUACCUGCAGAAUAAGCACCGGCUAACUACGUGCCAGCAGCCGCGGUAAUACGUAGGGUGCAGCGUUAAUCGGAAUUACCGGGCGUACGCGCGCAGGCGUCUGGAAAGAAAGAUGAAAUCCCAGAUGAACUUUGAACUGCAUUUUUAAAUUACCGAGUUAGAGUGUGUCAGAGGGAGGUAAAUUCCGGGCGUGCAGCAGCAAAGCUGCGGAUACGGUGUAGAGGAGCACCGAUGGCGAAGGCAGCCUCCUGGGAUAACACUGACGUCAUACUGAAAGCGUGGGGAGCAACAGAUUAGAUACUCCAGUAGUCCACGCCCUAAACGAUGUCAACUAGCUGUUGGGGCCUUCGGGUCCUGGUAGCGCAGCUAACGCGAAGUUGACCGCCUGGGAGUACGCAGUCGCAAGAUUAAAACCCAAAUGAAUUGACGGGGACUGCACAAGGAUGAUGAUUAACGAUAAACGAAACUUUACCUACUCCUUGACAUGUCUGGAAUCCCGAAGAGAUUUGGCGCUCGCAGAGAACCGAACACAGGUGCCGCAUGGCUGUCGUCAGCUCGUGUCGAGAUGUUGGGUUAAGUCCCGACAACGAGCGCAACCCUCUUUUGUCAUUAGUUGCUACGGAAAGGGCGCUCUAAUGAGACCAUUUUCGGUGACAAACCGGAGGAAGGUGGGGAUGACGUCAAGUCCUCAUGGCCCUUAUGGGUAGGGCUUCACACGUCAUACAAUGGUCGGGACAGAGGGUCGCCAACUCCGCGAGGGGGAGCCAAUCCCAGAAACCCGAUCGUAGUCCGGAUCGCAGUCUGCAACCUGACUGCGUGAAGUCGGGAAUCGCUAGUAAUCGCGGAUCAGCAUGUCGCGGUGAAUACGUUCCGGUCUUGCAAGACACCGCCUGUCACACCAUGGGAGUGGGUUUACCAGAAGUAGUUAGCCUAACCGUAAGGAGGCGAUUACCACGGUAGGAUUCAUGACCGGGUGAAGUCGUAACAACGUAG
RNAcentral lists this ribosomal RNA (1408 nucleotides) under uncultured Bordetella sp. Its description in RNAcentral is "partial 16S-23S ribosomal RNA intergenic spacer". It matches the Rfam family "Bacterial small subunit ribosomal RNA". The record is from RNAcentral. Lineage: Bacteria; Pseudomonadati; Pseudomonadota; Betaproteobacteria; Burkholderiales; Alcaligenaceae.